Molecule: long non-coding RNA, 1191 nt
Organism: Alligator mississippiensis (American alligator)
Lineage: Eukaryota; Metazoa; Chordata; Crocodylia; Alligatoridae
Exons: 6
Source: RefSeq, a predicted model, not a curated record
GUGCUGGGGUUGGUCGGGAGAUCCUGUUGCAGCGUGGUCACACUACUGCAUUUGGGCAAAUCCCCCUGGCUAGGGACCCACUCCCGCAUGGACCAGAAAUUCCACUCAGGACUGGAACCUCCUUUUCUUGUGCAUCUAGUACAGUAAAGGCCUAUGGCAUAUCCACAUGUUGAAAAGUAAAGGGUGUUUUAAGGAGAUUUCAGAAUCCUUGCCUCAUUCAAUACAUAUAUCAUUCAUUAACUGACAUGGCACCGGUACCUUUCAAAUGAUCUGGCAGCACCCCAGAGGGCCCUGACACCCUGGUUGAGAAUCAUUGACCUAAAAGAGUAAAAGGGUGAAACUGGAAUUCUCUGUUUCCAUGGAGAUAUGCAAUAGAAUGGAGCCUGAAGACACAACAGACACCCACCUUUCUGGAUCCAGGAUUCCUAUUGGAGGAAUAGUUUGUCUAACACAGGAAAAAAAAGUGGAACCCCAGAAAGUGAAAAAAGAUUCAGCUGGAGCAGUACACUACACCUAGAAUGUGGUUAUCAUUGUUGCCCUGUAUAUACUGGAGGAUCCUGUUGUAUUCGAAACAGCACGCUGCAGUGGAGUGAGUGUCAGGAAUUGUUUGUACUGUGAUAUCUCUUUUGAAUGCAAUGUACUAUAGUGACAUGUCCAUUUCUUGUACCUCACAAAUAACAUGCAAUUCAACAAGAGUCAGAAGACCUACAGAUCAUUUGAAUUUGUGAUUGCUAGUGGUAAUGGUGAUGUUCAGGGUAUGAUAUUCUCUGGUUUAAGAUGCAAUUCAGGACUCUACCCUCAUGUUCUAGGUAAUCAGAAUAUUUGAGUGUGCGAAGAAUGUGCAAAGAGUAUGUGAAGAAUGAUAGAAUGUAUUAGUAUUCUUUGUGGGUUUGUCAAGAAUGAUAGUCACUUUAGUAGUCUGCUUCUAUGAUUUGGCGAUCAUAGGAACCAUCUAAGGUUUUGUCUUUUCUACAGGACAAAAAGAAUAGCAUGUUGCAGACCUAGCACUAGUAUGAUCAUUUAGGUAUUUUAGGUUAUUUCAGUUUUAAGCCUAUAUUAACAUAGAAUGAUGUGAUUCAAGAAAUUAAGUUUUAAUCAGGAUUUGAUUGUGCUUUGAAAGAAGAUAGUAAUUAUUUUUUGGCACUGUGUGUGACUGAUAUUCUUUUUGUUACACACUAUGCAUUCAGAUUA